Molecule: long non-coding RNA, 818 nt
Filed under: Vulpes vulpes (red fox)
Lineage: Eukaryota; Metazoa; Chordata; Mammalia; Carnivora; Canidae
Description: lncRNA (ENSVVUG00000019715.1)
Source: RNAcentral
GGCCAAGUGAGAAAUGCAUGAAUUCUAACCCAAAACUCCUGAGUUUCUGCCACAUGAAUUGCUGUUUCAGAAACUAGUUAUGAAUCAUUUGCAGCCCGACAUCAACUGAAAGACCAGUUAACUUAGUCCUUUAUCUGGAGUCUCCCAAUUCUAAUGUUUUCUUUUCUUUUUUUUUUUAAGAUUUUAUUUAUUUAUUUAUAGAGACACAGAGAGAGAAUGAGAGGCAGAGACACGGCAGAGGGAGAAGCAGGCUCCAUGCAGGGAGCCCAACGUGGGACUCGAUCCAGAGUCUCCAGGAUCACUCCCCGGGCUGCAGGAAGCGCUAAACCACUGCAUCACCGGGGCUGCCCUGGAGUCUCCCAAUUCUAAAUCAAUAAUUUAUGAGAUCCGCAUGCAACUAAGUUAUGUGAACCUGAUGCUCUGCCUCACAGCAAAGCCUUCACAGUGUUCUCAUUUAAGCUUUGGAGGUGUUGACUCCAUGGAUCUGGGUGGAACAGGAUUCUCAGACUUCAGGCAGCCCCUCAUUCUCCAGGACUUCGCAGGAGGCUUCCUGAUUUCAGCUGGAUUUGAACCAGGAGGCUGGAGAAGCUGGGAGCUGCCCUGGAUCCUAAGGAUGAAGCUUGCACAGAGAAAGGAACGAGGAGAUGGCUAACUUCCCUUCUGGCCCCGGGACUCUACAAAUGUCUCAGAGUUCUUCCUGGAAGCCUAUAGAACAGUUGCUAAAACUUGUGGAGCACGACUAUGCACCUGGCAUGGUGCUCAACAUUUUAUAUACAUUGGCCCCAGAAAUGCUCAGCACCACCCUGGGAUGCAUGCAG